UACGUAGGGUGCAAGCGUUGUCCGGAAUCAUUGGGCGUAAAGCGCGCGUAGGUGGCUUCGUAAGUCCGUUGUGAAAGUCAAAGGCUCAACCUUUGAAUGCCGAUGGAUACUGCGGAGCUAGAGUACGGAAGAGGCGAGUGGAAUUCCUGGUGUAGCGGUGGAAUGCGCAGAUAUCAAGGAGGAACACCAAUAGCGAAGGCAGCUCGCUGGGACGUUACUGACACUAAGG
This 229-nucleotide ribosomal RNA is filed under the name uncultured bacterium. RNAcentral describes it as "partial 16S ribosomal RNA". It matches the Rfam family "Bacterial small subunit ribosomal RNA", at positions 524 to 751 of the family's 1533-position model. The record is from RNAcentral.